RNAcentral lists this ribosomal RNA (253 nucleotides) under uncultured bacterium. RNAcentral's name for it is "partial 16S ribosomal RNA". It matches the Rfam family "Bacterial small subunit ribosomal RNA", at positions 524 to 776 of the family's 1533-position model. The record is from RNAcentral.
UACAGAGGUCCCAAGCGUUGUUCGGAUUCACUGGGCUUAAAGGGCGCGUAGGCGGGCCAUCAAGUCAGGGGUGAAAUCUUUCGGCUCAACCGGAAAAGUGCCUUUGAUACUGGUGGUCUCGAGGGAGGUAGGGGCAUGCGGAACUUCCGGUGGAGCGGUGAAAUGCGUAGAUAUCGGAAGGAACGCCGGUGGCGAAGGCGGUUCUCUGGGCAUUACCUGACGCUGAGGAGCGAAAGUGUGGGGAGCGAACAGG